GCUGGGUGUGGUGGCACACACCUGUAGUCCCAGCUACUUGGGAGGCUGAGGCAGGAGAAUUGCUUGAGCCCAGGAGGUGGAGGUUGCAGUGAGCCAAGAUCGUGCCACUGCACCCCAGCCUGGGCAACAGAGCAAGACUCCAUCUCAA
Non-coding RNA from Pan troglodytes (chimpanzee), 148 nucleotides. It matches the Rfam family "Metazoan signal recognition particle RNA". Rfam says of the family: The signal recognition particle (SRP) is a universally conserved ribonucleoprotein. It is involved in the co-translational targeting of proteins to membranes. The record is from Rfam. Lineage: Eukaryota; Metazoa; Chordata; Mammalia; Primates; Hominidae.